GAUGAACGCUGGCGGCGUGCCUAAUACAUGCAAGUAGAACGCUGAAGGAAGGAGCUUGCUCUUUCCGGGUGAGUUGCGAACGGGUGAGUAACGCGUAGGUAACCUGCCUGGUAGCGGGGGAUAACUAUUGGAAACGAUAGCUAAUACCGCAUAACAGUAGAUGUUGCAUGAUAUCUACUUAAAAGGUGCAAUUGCACCACUACCAGAUGGACCUGCGUUGUAUUAGCUAGUUGGUGAGGUAACGGCUCACCAAGGCGACGAUACAUAGCCGACCUGUGAGGGUGGUCGGCCCCACUGGGACUGGGACACGGCCCAGACUCCUACGGGAGGCAGCAGUAGGGGAUCUUCGGAAAUGGACGGAAGUCUGACCGAGCAACGCCGCGUGAGUGAAGAAGGUUUUCGGAUCGUAAAGCUCUGUUGUAAGAGAAGAACGAGUGUGAGAGUGGAAAGUUCACACUGUGACGGUAUCUUACCAGAAAGGGACGGCUAACUACGUG
This 497-nucleotide ribosomal RNA is filed under the name uncultured bacterium. Its description in RNAcentral is "partial 16S ribosomal RNA". It matches the Rfam family "Bacterial small subunit ribosomal RNA", at positions 28 to 507 of the family's 1533-position model. The record is from RNAcentral.